CAGCCGCUUCUUUAAAUUUAAAAUACCUUCAGAACAACACUUUUCGUCAUAAACUACUAAAUAAUAUAGUUUCACUGAUGAGUUUACAGACGCAAAAAUUUAUUUUGACCUAUACCACAUCCGCUACUGACAUCAAGAUUCGCUACAAACACAACACAAAGGUAGGGUACUGCUCCCUCCACCAAAGCCAUUGACUAAGAACGGCAAAAGCAUGCCACAAUGUAUUUUUGGUGAUGAGGCUCUCCCUCAGAAAACCUGGCUGAUGAGACCAUACCUUGGAAAAUCCCUGAAUUCCAUAUCAAAGAAAAUUUUCAAUUACAGGCUAUCUAGAGCUAGAAGGACAAUAGAAAAUGCAUUUGGUAUCAUGGUUUCAAAUUGGAGGUUAUUCAAAAGUACAAUUGAUGCUGAGCCUACAAAUGUAGUAAAAAUGAGUAAAGCUAUUUGUGUACACCACAGCUUUUUAAGGCAAAGCAAUGUUUCCAUUUACACACCAUCAGACUUUACAGAUUCUGUUGAUAAAAAUGGUCAAAUCACUGAUGGAAUAUGGCUGGCUGAAGGAGAAAUAGCUGCUCUUCAUACACUUACUCCAAAUUCUAGGAACCAAACAAAAGCAGACCUAAGGGUUCGGGAUGACUUUGCAAAUUUUUUUGCUUGAACUCCUAGUGAAUUGUCAUGGCAGCAAGAUUAUGUACUCCACACCUAUUAGGCAUCACAUAAACACACAUUUAUUUUGCUUAGAAUGUAAUAUUUUGAAAUUAAUUUUAGUGGCAUAGCCCAUCCACAAAUUUGGUCAUAAAUUUACCAUAAUCAGCAUUAUUCAUUUUUUUACAAUUCCAUUCCAUUACAGUGAUUGAACACUGAAAUAUUAACAUAACAUGACCAAACUUGUGGGCAGACUAUACCACAGUAUACUAUAAAUAACAUGAACUAUCAGGGUUGUCCACUAGGAAAUUCAAGGUUAAAAAGAACAUCUUCAAUUUUCUUCUUUGCUUUUGCUCUGCUAAAAGCAGUAGGCAGGUUCCUAAUUUGUUCGGCAACACUCAUGCCAAAAUGAUCGUACUCAUCAGGAGGUUUGGCAGCCAUCUUCGAAGUGCUAUUCUUGAAUGUCUCCAAACAAUCUAUCAAUUUUUUGGUAAAAAGAAAGCUCGCUUCCUGCCUUUCACUUUCUUGUGGCAGUGUUUGACCCUGUUGGGUUUGCAGGGCUGGGUGAAGGGCUCCUAUAACUUCCAUAUUCACUGAAAGUUUCAAGUGGAGGGCUUUCAGCAGUUAGAAAAUUGAAAAUUCAGUAUGUAAUCAGUCAAUUUACCUGUGUAAUCAAAGCCAAUCUCGCGCAUUUCAUCUGCAUCUUGUCCCAAAAAUUGGAUUUCAACUUUUCAUUUUUGUAAUCUUUUAAAGACAUAUCAUAGAGUACUGGGUACUUUCGAAAAAUAUUAAUUAAUGAUUCUUCGAAAGACGCCGUGUUUAAAAUUUUUGACAGCGACGCAGGAUUUCAUGUGCUCAAGCGAAUUCGCUGAUAAAGCUGAAAGCAGUGAACGCUAUUAAAAGACUGGAACGAUAACUCAAAUACAAAAGCCAUAUGAUAAAAUGAAGCCAAUAUGACGGCUAUAGAGUGAUAUUUUGAAGGUAUAAAACACGCGUGUUGUGUGCGUGGAUUGUCACGAAUAUAGAAAAGACAACCCUACAUGGCAAUGUUUUCACAAUGUGUUGUGUGAGUUUUAAGUUUGAAAAACAUUGAAUAUGCCGUGUUUUUAAAAUUUAAGAUUGUAAAUUAAGAUUUUAAAAUUUAAGAUUUUAAAAUUAGAAUUCUUAACCUUGAAGUUUUAGUUUCUUUCAAUCCCUUGAAAUCAUCGGCCUAGCUCGCUAUCCGGGCCAGCUCGUCUCCAUAUAUUCAGGCCCUAAUGCAAAGAAAAGUUGUAACAAGGUCAUUUGACAAAACUGUAAACACAAAGCAUGUUUUGAAUACUCACAAUACACAAGGC
This is a long non-coding RNA of Xenia sp. Carnegie-2017, 1979 nucleotides long. RefSeq lists it as uncharacterized. The transcript is spliced from 3 exons. NCBI's taxonomy places the organism in Eukaryota, Metazoa, Cnidaria, Anthozoa, Malacalcyonacea, Xeniidae. The record is from RefSeq and is a predicted model, not a curated record.